This 253-nucleotide ribosomal RNA is filed under the name uncultured bacterium. Its description in RNAcentral is "partial 16S ribosomal RNA". It matches the Rfam family "Bacterial small subunit ribosomal RNA", at positions 524 to 776 of the family's 1533-position model. The record is from RNAcentral.
UACGGGGGGGGCAAGCGUUGUUCGGAAUUACUGGGCGUAAAGGGCUCGUAGGUGGCCAACUAAGUCAGACGUGAAAUCCCUCGGCUUAACCGGGGAACUGCGUCUGAUACUGGAUGGCUUGAGUUUGGGAGAGGGAUGCGGAAUUCCAGGUGUAGCGGUGAAAUGCGUAGAUAUCUGGAGGAACACCGGUGGCGAAGGCGGCUACCUGGACAGAGUCUGACGCUGAGGCACGAAAGCUAGGGGAGCAAACAGG